UACGAAGGGUGCAAGCGUUACUCGGAAUUACUGGGCGUAAAGCGUGCGUAGGCGGUUUGUUAAGUCUGUUGUGAAAGCCCCGGGCUCAACCUGGGAAUGGCAAUGGAAACUGGCGAGCUAGAGUACGGUAGAGGAGAGUGGGAUUCCCGGUGUAGCAGUGAAAUGCGUAGAGAUCGGGAGGAACAUCAGUUGCGAAGGCGGCUCUCUGGACCAGUACUGACGCUGAGGCACGAAAGCGUGGGGAGCAAACAGG
This 253-nucleotide ribosomal RNA is filed under the name uncultured bacterium. Its description in RNAcentral is "partial 16S ribosomal RNA". It matches the Rfam family "Bacterial small subunit ribosomal RNA", at positions 524 to 776 of the family's 1533-position model. The record is from RNAcentral.